Melanotaenia boesemani (Boeseman's rainbowfish) is the source of this 369-nucleotide long non-coding RNA. RefSeq lists it as uncharacterized. Lineage: Eukaryota; Metazoa; Chordata; Actinopteri; Atheriniformes; Melanotaeniidae. The record is from RefSeq and is a predicted model, not a curated record. The transcript has 3 exons.
AUGCUGACUCUGGGCACGGCCUGGCGUAGCGGCCUCUCUGACUCGGGGUCCACGGGAGUGAGGCUCGUCUGGGAGUGGGCAGAUCCAUCAGCAGCAUUUGACCUGAGGAUGAGAAGAACAACGCUCAUGUUGCCUUUAGUGUCGCUUGUUAGACAUCCUGGGUGCUGCAGCCAGACUAUGCAAGUCAGUCUUGAAUCAGUCUGGAUUAAAUUAGGCUGAGCUGUAUUAGUGGAACGACUUGAGGUUUAAUGAAGAGAUGCCGCCAGUUUGAGUCUGACUUCUUCUGGAUGUCGUCCAGCCAGGCUAAGUCGUGCUGUGAGAACAUCAGAUCCAGCAGCUUCCGUACAACCAUCAGUCCCAGAAUCUGUG